GACGAACGCUGGCGGCGUGCUUAACACAUGCAAGUCGAACGCUGAAGACCUGGCUUUUGUUGGGUUGGAUGAGUGGCGAACGGGUGAGUAACACGUGAGUAACCUGCCCUCUUCUUUGGGAUAACGCCCGGAAACGGGUGCUAAUACUGGAUAUUCACUGGCCUUCGCAUGGGGGUUGGUGGAAAGGUUUGUUCUGGUGGGGGAUGGGCUCGCGGCCUAUCAGCUUGUUGGUGGGGUGAUGGCCUACCAAGGCUUUGACGGGUAGCCGGCCUGAGAGGGUGACCGGUCACAUUGGGACUGAGAUACGGCCCAGACACCUACGGGAGGCAGCAGUGGGGAAUAUUGCACAAUGGGCGAAAGCCUGAUGCAGCGACGCCGCGUGAGGGAUGGAGGCCUUCGGGUUGUAAACCUCUUUCGCUCAUGGUCAAGCCGCAACUGUGGGUUGUGGUGAGGGUAGUGGGUAAAGAAGCGCCGGCUAACUACGUG
RNAcentral lists this ribosomal RNA (486 nucleotides) under uncultured bacterium. RNAcentral's name for it is "partial 16S ribosomal RNA". It matches the Rfam family "Bacterial small subunit ribosomal RNA", at positions 28 to 507 of the family's 1533-position model. The record is from RNAcentral.